Molecule: long non-coding RNA, 927 nt
Organism: Danio aesculapii
Lineage: Eukaryota; Metazoa; Chordata; Actinopteri; Cypriniformes; Danionidae
Exons: 3
Source: RefSeq, a predicted model, not a curated record
UCCAUCCCAUUAUGACCACAGUGUACCCAUCUUCUGAUGGCUACUUCCAGCAGGAUAAUGCACCAUGUCAUAAAGCACACAUCAUCUCAGACUGGUUUCUUAAACAUAACAAUGAGUUCACUGUACUCAAAUGGCCUCCACAGUCACCAGAGCUCAAUCCAAUAGAGCACCUUUGGGAUGUGGUGGAACGGGAGAUUCACAUCAUGGAUGUGCAGCCGACAAAUCUGCAGCAGCUGCGUGAUGCUAUCAUCUCAAUAUGGACCAAAAUCUCAGGAAUUUUCCAGUACCUUGUUGAAUCCUAGCAAUGGAGGAUCAAGGCAGUUCUGAAGGCAAAAGUGGGUACAACCCGGUACUAGUUAGGGGUACCUAAUAAAGUGUCCGAUUGGUUGAUGAUGUUGUCGCCUGACCUCUGAUCCCCAGUUGAUACGAACAAACAACAGGACAUUGGCAUGACGUCAGCCCUCUUGAGGUUCAGACCGGUUCUGUCAGGCUGAAGUGGUCAGAGGGGUGAAACUGACCCUCAGCAAUCCGGUCCGAUCUGAGGAAGAGUUAAAGUCACCCACUUUGGUGUAUGUUUGUGGUCCUGAAAGAACUAUCACUGACAUAACCAUGUGACUGUAGUUACAACAGCUGAUUGGGACAAUCAGCUAAUAUUUACUGUUUAGAACUAUAAAUUAGAAAUAAUGACUCAUCAAUUAUGGCUUAAAGGGAUAGUUCAUACAAAAUAAUGACAAUUCUGUUAUCAUUUACUUGUUUCGAACCACAAAAGAAGAUAUUUAGAAAAAUGUUGGAAACCUGUAACCAUUGACUUCCAUAGUAGCCUAUUUGUUUUUCCUACUAUUGAAGUCAAUGGUAACAGGCUUUCAGCUUUCUUCACAAUAUCUUCUUCAACGUUCAAAAGAAGAAAUAAACGUAAAGGUUUGGAAC